Molecule: ribosomal RNA, 119 nt
Filed under: Pteropus alecto (black flying fox)
Lineage: Eukaryota; Metazoa; Chordata; Mammalia; Chiroptera; Pteropodidae
Source: RNAcentral
GGCUACGGCCAUGCCACCCUGAACACGCCCGAUCUCGUCUGAUCUCAGAAGCUAAGCAGGGUCAGGCCUGGUUAGUACUCAGAUGGGAGACCAUCUAGGAAGACCAGGUGCUGUAGGCA